This 1435-nucleotide ribosomal RNA is filed under the name uncultured marine bacterium. RNAcentral describes it as "bacterial SSU rRNA". It matches the Rfam family "Bacterial small subunit ribosomal RNA". The record is from RNAcentral.
GAGUUUGAUCAUGGCUCAGAACGUACGCUGGCGGCACGCCUAACACAUGCAAGUCGAACGAAGUAGCAAUACUUAGUGGCAGACGGGUGAGUAACAUGUAGGUAUCUGCCCUUUGGCCUGGAAUAACACGAGGAAACUUGUGCUAAUACCGGAUAAGUCUUUACGGAGAAAGCUUUAUGCACCAUUGGAUGAGCCUGCACUUGAUUAGUUUGUUGGUGGGGUAAUGGCCUACCAAGACUGUGAUCAAUAGCUGAUUUGAGAGGAUGAUCAGCCACAUUGGGACUGAGACACGGCCCAAACUCCUACGGGAGGCAGCAGUGGGGAAUCUUGCACAAUGGAGGGAACUCUGAUGCAGCGAUGCCGCGUGAGUGAAGAAGGCCCUUGGGUUGUAGAGCUCUUUCGUCGGGGAAGAAAAUGACUGUACCCGAAUAAGAAGGUCCGGCUAACUUCGUGCCAGCAGCCGCGGUAAUACGAAGGGACCUAGCGUAGUUCGGAAUUACUGGGCUUAAAGAGUUCGUAGGUGGUUGAAAAAGUUAGUGGUGAAAUCCCAGAGCUUAACUCUGGAACUGCCAUUAAAACUUUUCAGCUAGAGUAUGAUAGAGGAAAGCAGAAUUUCUAGUGUAGAGGUGAAAUUCGUAGAUAUUAGAAAGAAUACCAAUUGCGAAGGCAGCUUUCUGGAUCAUUACUGACACUGAGGAACGAAAGCAUGGGUAGCGAAGAGGAUUAGAUACCCUCGUAGUCCAUGCCGUAAACGAUGCGUGUUAGACGUUGGAAAUUUAUUUUCAGUGUCGCAGGGAAACCGAUAAACACACCGCCUGGGGAGUACGACCGCAAGGUUAAAACUCAAAUGAAUUGACGGGGACCCGCACAAGUAGUGGAGCAUGUGGUUUAAUUCGAAGAUACGCGCAGAACCUUACCAACACUUGACAUGUUUGUCGCGACUCUAAGAGAUUAGAGUUUUCGGUUCGGCCGGACGAAACACAGGUGCUGCAUGGCUGUCGUCAGCUCGUGUCGUGAGAUGUUGGGUUAAGUCCCGCAACGAGCGCAGCCCUCACUUUUAGUUGCCAUCAUUAAGUUGGGCACUCUGAAAGAACUGCCAGUGAUAAGCUGGAGGAAGGUGGGGAUGACGUCAAGUCCUCAUGGCCCUUACGUGUUGGGCUACACACGUGCUACAAUGGUAUCUACAACAGGAAGCAAGACUGCGAAGUUAAGCAAAUCCCUAAAAGAUACCUCAGUUCGGAUUGCACUCUGCAACUCGAGUGCAUGAAGCUGGAAUUACUAGUAAUCGUGGAUCAGCGUGCCACGGUGAAUGCGUUCCCGGGUCUUGUACACACCGCCCGUCACACCAUGGGAGUUGGUUCUACCUUAAGGCAAGGUUUUAAACCCUUGACCACGGUAUAGUCAGCGACUGGGGUGAAGUCGUAGCAAGGUAACC